UUGUGGAGCUUGUGAGGAGGAGCUGG
Molecule: non-coding RNA, 26 nt
Filed under: Mus musculus (house mouse)
Lineage: Eukaryota; Metazoa; Chordata; Mammalia; Rodentia; Muridae
Source: RNAcentral